AGCAGCCGCGGUAAUUCCAGCUCCAAUAGCGUAUAUUAAAGUUGUUGCAGUUAAAAAGCUCGUAGUUGAAUUUCGGGGUUAGCAGGUCGGUCGUGCCAUUGGUAUGAACUGGUCUCGCUGAUCCCUCCCUCUUGACGAACUGUGAUGCCAUUAAUUUGGUGUCGUAGGGAAUCAGGACUGUUACUUUGAAAAAUUAGAGUGUUUAAAGCAGGCUCACGCUUGAAUACAUUAGCAUGGAAUAAUGAAAUAGGACGUUUGAUCCUAUUUUGUUGGUUUCUAGGAUUGACGUAAUGAUUAAUAGGGAUAGUUGGGGGCAUUAGUAUUCAAUUGUCAGAGGUGAAAUUCUUGGAUUUAUUGAAGACUAACUACUGCGAAAGCAUUUGCCAAGGAUGUUUUCAUUAAUCAAGAACGAAAGUUAGGGGAUCGAAGACGAUCAGAUACCGUCGUAGUCUUAAACCAUAAACUAUGCCGACUAGGGAUCGGAUGAUGUUUAAUUUUUAAUGUACUCA
Molecule: ribosomal RNA, 509 nt
Filed under: uncultured Glomeraceae
Lineage: Eukaryota; Fungi; Glomeromycota; Glomeromycetes; Glomerales; Glomeraceae
Description: SSU rRNA
Rfam family: Eukaryotic small subunit ribosomal RNA
Source: RNAcentral